RNAcentral lists this ribosomal RNA (451 nucleotides) under uncultured bacterium. RNAcentral's name for it is "bacterial SSU rRNA". It matches the Rfam family "Bacterial small subunit ribosomal RNA", at positions 791 to 1239 of the family's 1533-position model. The record is from RNAcentral.
UAGUCCACGCCGUAAACGAUGUCUACUGGCCGUUGGGAAACUUGAUUUCUUAGUGGCGCAGCUAACGCACUAAGUAGACCGCCUGGGGAGUACGGCCGCAAGGUUAAAACUCAAAUGAAUUGACGGGGGCCCGCACAAGCGGUGGAGCAUGUGGUUUAAUUCGAUGCAACGCGAAGAACCUUACCAGGACUUGACAUCCAGAGAACUUGGCAGAGAUGCCUUGGUGCCUUCGGGAACUCUGAGACAGGUGCUGCAUGGCUGUCGUCAGCUCGUGUCGUGAGAUGUUGGGUUAAGUCCCGUAACGAGCGCAACCCUUGUCCUUAGUUGCCAGCACAUAAUGGUGGGAACUCUAGGGAGACUGCCGGUGACAAACCGGGAGGAAGGUGGGGACGACGUCAAGUCAUCAUGGCCCUUACGUCCUGGGGCUACACACGUGCUACAAUGGGAACGC